CGCGGAGCAGCUGCUACAGAUCGGUCGCCACAAACAAAUGUCGUUUGCACUCGUAAAUUCUUGUUCAUAUCUGGUCUAAAUGUCACUGUUACAUUCUUCAACCUGUUAGACAUCAGCCAGCGUCGGGGAGGGAUAAGUUGGUCGCGCGGUGCGCCGGAUAUAUUCCACAAUUGGUGAGUCUGUCUGUUGUCGUAGCGUUAGCAUUAGUGUGUAUCAAUGCAUUUAUAUGGACUGGCUACGGCACACCUAGCUUUUAAAUGCUAACGCUGGCCUCUGAAUCCAUGUGAUUUGGUGAAUGUUGACCUUUUAUUUAAGGAAAAUUGAGAAGAUUUGUCAUUGAUUAUAUAUGAAGAACUGAUGUAAAUGUGUUUAAAUCAAAUGCACUUUAAUUGUUGUUCAUGUCUAUUUUUGCUCAUGAACUAUCAAAUCAUUUCUUAACCAUUGUGUACACUGAAUAUAUUGUGGUCCUGUUUACAUUAUACAGGCCAGGGUGCCUGUAAGGACUCAGAACUGAAUCGAUGGCGAGCUAAGACACUGGCCUGAGCUGAGCAAUCCCAGUUAAAAGCCUCUUCUGGUCUGGUAGGAGGCUCUGGCAGCCUUGUUUCCCCCCUCACCUUCUUUCACACCCACCACACACACACACGCACUUGCACUUUAAGGCCAUGGACUAUUAACAUCUAGGACUCUGCCUUUGCA
Non-coding RNA from Xyrichtys novacula (pearly razorfish), 696 nucleotides. The record is from the annotation of a GenBank genome assembly. NCBI's taxonomy places the organism in Eukaryota, Metazoa, Chordata, Actinopteri, Labriformes, Labridae.